GAAUAUUUCGAGCAAGUCCUUCGGAUAACUAAAACGUAUAAACAAGGUAAGGGAGAGAGAUUAUAUAGAUUUUGUAAAUAUAAAUUUAUAUAAAUAUAGGCCAUAAUACGAAAGAACUAAAAUUUUUUUUUUACUGUUCUAUCCAGUCUUCAUUCCAAAUAGCUCGAUGAUUUCACAAAUUCUAAAACGAUAUAGAAAUUACGGAAAACUCACGUGUGUGUGUCUCUUUCGAUAAGACAAAAUAGCUGGAAGAGAACCCCACCACCCCUGGACAACGUGGCACAUCCCGUGUUACUGCACAUUCUCCUCAGAAUUCCCAGUUGGAAAAUUUAAACCGUUUUUAUACCAGAACCAAAGUACACCCAUACCUCGCUUUGCGUCGGGGUUACGUUCAAAAAAAAAAAAAAAACAAUGGUUGCCUGUAAAGUCGGUUUUACGGGCGAAGAUUUUACGUGACAACGGUAGAAUAUUUAUUGAUAUGAAUAUAAUUAAAUUGCACAAUAGGAACAAGGAAUUGAAUGAAAUAAGAAUUGCACAAAUUUUAACUAUAGAAAUAUAUUUUGUUUACUAAAACAUUGUACAUGUAAACUUAAACUUAACUAAUUCCUAUUUGAGUGAUUUUGUUGAGGAUAGGACGAUGAUAGGAGAAAUAUGAAAUGAAAGGAAGUGUUUCUGCUGUAAUGUGUCUUGCGAAAGUCAAGUCGAUAGUUGUUCCUUUUAACGUAGUUGACUUAGAAACGUUUGAUACGCAAUCAAGAUUAUACGUAUUUUUCAUGAAAUUAAGAAACGAGUUGUCAGGCUUUACGUUUUUGUUAAAAUCACCACACAGAAGAAUCGGUAUACUAGAAUCAACUUGCACGAACGGUGGCACGUACUGGCUGUUGUGAAUGUACGGACCGAGUCCUUGCCAUAGUAACAUUCCAAUAUCCUGCAUACUAGCUCCUGGAUGAAUAUAUACAGCACCGAGUAUAAACUUGAAGCUAGUAUUAGCGGCGAAGCAAGUAACUUCAGUCAUGCACAUGUCACCCUUGGUUUUAAUGACACGAGUUACGUCUGUAAUCGCAACUUGGAACACUUCCGCCGUAGAUGUCGAUGAUAAUUUACGAUAGAUCGCCACUCCACCAGCCGCGUUGGUAUUUGAAAAUCAAAACACUUAUUCAGAUCGAAGGUUCAAAUUUUUGCUAAAUAAAUUUGAAAUUAAAUAAAAUUUGUAAUUGUAAAUGAUGAAGUUGUAAAUUAAAACAUUUACUUAAAUGAGAUGUUAAAAUUCUUGCUCAACACAGUUUAAAUAAAGUUUUCUUAUAUCUGCCACUUUUUCUUAAUAUUUGUAAUUUUAAAGAAUCAAUUCGAAAUUCAAAACAUUUAUUCAGAUCGAAGGUUCAAAUUUUUGCUAAAUAAAUUUGAAACUAUUUAAAAUUUGUAAGAUAAUAAUUAAUUAAUUAAUUUUAAACUAAUAAUUUACUUAACACUAUCAACAUUUAUCAAUAGUAUGACAUAACCUAUAAACUCAGUUUCUCAACUUUUGUGUCAAUCUAACAAUUAAUCAAUCAAUCAUAGUUUACGAUAAUGAAAUAUCAGUGUACAAUUAUUUACCUUUAUUGUUGUAGUUGUUGUAAAUGACGAAUCUAAGCACUCCACAUUUUCACUACAGACACAGCUGACGAUACUUUAACCACACGUGUGAACUUGUAUUAUGACGCUUUCUUGUUUUUCCAACGCCAAGAACGUUCGAGAAAGACAAAGACAGAGACAAGCAUGCGCCGAUUCAAUGCGCCUAAUUCUCUAGCGCUGCGCGCGCAGCACUCUCGUUCGAUGACUCAUCGUAACGUUACCGGGCGUUACACUUUUUCAUAAGUGACUCCCAGCCGCAACCUAAUUUAAGACGUUGUCACGUCAAAAAAACACGACGUAAAUUGAAACGACGCAAAGUGAAAAUAUGUGAAGGCGCAAUCAAAAACAAAGGUGUUGCCAUAUUUUAGGAAAAAAAAAUCAGAAAAAAAAUUAAAGACUCGAAUCCAAAACAACGCAACUUCGAAAAUCUAACGACGCACAGUGAAAAUCAGUAAAAAUUAAGCAGCGACGCAACUUCGAAAAAAACGCAAAACGAAACGACGCAAAGCGAGGUAUUGGUGUACACUCAUGGACAAAACUUAAGGAAGUUGUACAUUUCAGCAUGUAUAUCGAGAUUCAGACAAUAAGUCUUAAAGAUAUUACAGUGACCUUUAUUGAAGACACACCAGAUAACCAAGUGUGAACAAAAUUUCCUCUGUCUCCUUAAAAAAAAGACGAAUAUCGAAGACUUUCCACUUCCAUAAGUUUGGUCUCAAUGAAUGUAAAAAGAUAUAGGAUAGAGCAUAAUUUCUGGCAAACCAUUUCAGACAAAUCAGGCCUGCCGGCCUAUGUUCGAGGUAAGCACAGCAGAACAUCUCUGAAAUCUAGACGUUAAAACUUAUUGAUGGGAACACGGUAAAGUUAGUUAGGAAUUGUUUGAAUGCACUGUAGGUCAUCUUGGUCUGACGGCGUUUAUUGAGGCCUGAAGUCAUGGAAGAAUGGUAUAACAUGGUUCUUUGGACAGAAAACUUUUAUUUUCUCGACCUUUCGACAAAAAUCGUUUGUCUUCGUCGGGAAAAAUAAAACAUUUAUCAAGGCGUUAUAAAUGAUUCUGAGGUUCUUUUUUUUCUGACCGAAAUGUCUUUUAUUUUUAAGAGAAAUUCAAAAUACGAAACUAUUAUAGACGCGUAUGAUUCUUUUUAAAAUAAAACAAUUUCUACUGUCCUUACUGCAAUGGAAAAAUUAUCAUACGCGUCUAAAAUAGUUUCGUAUUUUGAUAACAGAUGGCGCGCUAAUGCUUCAUAAGAAAUAUGAAUGUCUACCAGGCAUCUUCUAACUCAAGAUGGUUCUCUGGAGUAUUUGAUGGGAUCAUGGCAAUGGUCGGUCAGUAUCUAGAGACGUCUUCCUUUUCUUUGGUGCGGACUUUUGACAUUGUCUUUGUUCGAUGGACAUUAGGGAGAAAUCCAUCCCCUUCCUCUGUGUUUCACGGAAUGAAACAUUGUGGUAGAGUGUAUGCGAAUUUACUUUCUUUCCUCGUCAUAUGAAACUUCAUAUCUUCAAAUAGAAUCUCCCUAACCCUCUCAAUUCUCAUCAAGAGUACAGAUAUAUAAACAGUGGAGAUUAUGCACUUUGCAUGUAUUGACAAGAUGUCAAUAAAAUUAUUUUAUUUGUCUAUUCUCACCAAAAUAUGCUAUCUUGUAUAUUAUCCUCUUUCACUUCGACUUUACUAAGAGAAAGUCACAUUCAAAUAAUUAAAAAGGAAGAUGUAAUUUGUAAAUUCUGAAAAACUGAAAGCAUAGAAGAAAUGACCCACUACAUCUCUGAAUGCACUAUUGUUAACGAGGAACGGAAUAAGAUCUUAAAGAAAAUUAUCCAAGUCUACGUGAACCCAGUUCAGCUAAACAGAAUAAUGUCCGAGAAAAAAUAUAUAGCGAUAGAAUUAUUUAAUUUUCAUAAAGCGUUAGAGAACAAGGUAAUCUCUGAGAACUAAAAUUACAAUUUCCUUCAAUAGUUAAUUUGUAUAGUUAUGUUGAAUACUUUGAUUUCCUUUUCAUUUUCCCUUCUCUCUUUUGUUUAUGUUUUUUUCCCUUUCUCCAUGAAAAUGAUGUAUGGCGAGUCCUUACAGGACGGAAAUGUCCUAAUAAAGCAGUUGUUGUUGUCUUAUCCUCUUCAAAUAAGCCCUGGCAGUGUGUGUGUGGAACUUACAUUUGCCCCAAGGUCGAAGUUUUCGUUGGUUUAACAUACAAGAUAGGAGAAACGAUAUCGUAGCCAAUGAGAAACUUCCGAGGCACGAUUAUUGCUGGUUGAAAACUUUACCCAAUACAUGAUAGGAGACCUAUCUGGGCGGGAUAUCACCUGACCCGCGGGCGGGGCGAUCGCUGAUUGGCCAAGUCAGUAAUGACGUCACCAUGUUGUCUCUACCCGCCAUGUUUGAUUGACUUAUCUGGGUUGGUGGAAUAUGAAGUGAUACUGAAAGCCACCAAUGAUCAAUCGAGUUAAGUGUAAAGGCUAAAUAUAUUUCAAAUAUGAUUUGUAUAAUUUUAUAAACGAAAAUUUUUGCCAUUAUUAUUUUCAAUUAAACAUGAUAGAAAAAUACAUGCAUGGACAAAACUUAAGGAAGUUGUAGCAUGUAUAUCAGGAUUCAGACAAUAACAAUGACUCUGAAAGAUAUUACAGUGACCUUUAUUGAAGACACACGAGAUAACCAAGUGUGAACAACCUCUGUCUCCUUAAAAAUAAAAAAAAUUAAAAAUAGAUAACCGGCGACAUCAACAUAUGAAACUUUUUAAAGUUUUGUCCCUGAGUGUAUAUAUAUUAUUAUAUAUUUUAAUAGAAUUAUUAAUUUGAUUAUUGAAACCGUUUUACCUAUUUUGUCCACGCUUUUGUGAUAAAGUUAUUAAAGCUAUAUGUCGUUCUUGAUUUUAUUGCGGGAAAUUUCUCGAAUGAUAUCGUUUUAUUCUCUAUACAUUUCUCUUUCUCAUACUGGUGUUUGAUUGUGUUUCAGAGGUGUCAUUUCUCCAGCACAGCAGUCGCAAUAUCCACUAGAGAUGCAUGGGGACAUCUGAGGUUCUUCAUUGGACACGACAACAACAUUUCCCCAGCCCAGGACUUUGAUUAGGGAUAAGGUAGAAAAGUGGUCUCUUUACUUUGUUGAAAGUGAGAUUCAACUUUUCUAGCUCAUUACCUAUCAAAUAUACGUCGAUCUCAGAACACUCGGUAACUACCUCUCUCUAUCUUGUCUGUUGGCUCAUCUCUGUGUGGCUGUGGUUGUUGUACCGGCUUUAUAAUCAACUUUGUUGGAAGUGAGAUUCAACUUUUCUAGCUCAUUACCUAUCAAAUAUACGUCGAUCUCAGAACACUCGGUAACUACCUCUCUAUCUUGUCUGUUGGCUCAUCUCUGUAUGGCUGUUGUUGUUGUACUGGCUUUACAAUCUUUGUUGAAAGUGAGAUUCAACUUUUCUAGCUCAUUACCUAUCAAAUAUACGUCGAUCUCAGAACACUCGGUAACUACCUCUCUCUAUCUUGUCUGUUGGCUCAUCUCUGUAUGGCUGUUGUUGUUGUACCGGCUUUACAAUCUAACUUUGUUGUUAUGUCAUCCAUAGACUUUAACCCCCAAUGUUUGUGUUGCUGUGCCUUCCUUAAAGACACUUUCUGCUAUUCCCUCUCUCUAUAUACCGAGCCAUUUUUGCUACCAACAGAUAACCUCACAAACCAACAAAAAUAACAAGAUAACCAUCGGCCCUCGUUGUGGAUAAAAUAACAAACGGCCCCUCGAUAAAGAUAAAAUAGCAAAUAGCAAAGUUCUCCCAUCUCCCACACUUCUGAACGAAACAACAAUACAUAAGAAUAAUUAAAAGAAAUUUGAAGAUAAAGAAACCACAUCGUAAAGAUAGAGGCUACCUGGCCAGCAUUCAUAUUUCUUCAAAUAAAAGACUUUUCGACCAGUAAAUCUUUUUAUUGUCUCGGCGUUUCGACAAAAAUAUUUUGUCCUCGUCAGGAGCGAACAAAAAUUAAAACAUUUGGCAAAGCGUUAGUGUUUUAAUUUUUAUUCGCUCCUGACGAGGACAAAAGAUUUUUGUCGAAACGUCGAGACAAUAAAAAGAUUUACUGGCCGAAGUAUAUUUUAUUUGAAGCUAAAGAAACCACAGUUAUUGAAAUAAAUGCAGUACGUCUUCAAAACCAAAUAUGAAUCCUCUCUAAAAACAAGAACAUUAAGCCUCCAGGGAAAAGUUUAUUUUAAAGAAACUUAAACUCUCUUCCCUGAAGACUUGUUUUGGUAUUGAUUCAAGGGAUUGUUUUAUCGAAAUGAAUCUAUUGAAUAAAAUAUCCUGAGUUCGAUUCUCAAAUGUUCCCUUUUUUACUUUGCGUUUUACUGUCCGUUGGGGUAUCACUUUCAUUAUUAAUUGGCAUCCAUGUGGUACUGGCUGCGGGACACAGUAAAGAACCACGACACAGAUUACAAAGUUAAAUACAAGUUUAUUGGCAUCCAUACAUCAGUGCGGUCUCACGCCUUGAUCUUCUGUUCCCACUGCUCCACCAGGAUGCUCCGUCUGCGCUGGCCGGUCUGCGUACGCCACAGAGCACUUAGCGCAUGUGCAAUAUGUGUGUCUCUUGGUUCAUGGCAAACUGGGGUAUGUGAAUUAUGGACAUGUCAAUAUGUGAUUGAGUUCAAUCCAUUAUAAAUAUAGGAAUUGUGAAUAUAAAGCGAACUUUGCUCUAAAAGUCAAUGUAUAAAUGAUAUGCUCUUAUGCAAAUGAAUAUGCCAAUACGUUAAUGUGCAAAUUUUACUUUACAUAUGAAUUUGCAUAUAUAUGUAAAAUUUAUAUAUGAGAAUAUGUAUUUGAGUGCACAAGGAGCUAUGCAACCAUGAACCUAAGUUGGUAUAUUCUCACGUGUUAACAGCAGGCUGGGUUUGAUUAGCGUUUAUUGUUUCAAAAAACGUCCAAGUGUGAAGAACGCCACGUGCCGGCCUCACCUACCGCCCAGCCAUGACCCAGGGACUUAUCAUUCAAUUCCCAUCAUCAGGAGAAACAAUGGCGGCGGAAUUAUCCACAGAUAUCCUCGUACAGACAAUGUGCCCCCGUCAUUAGCUCCUGAUUGCAUACAAGGAGGAUUUAUGUUUCUUCACCCAUGUACCUACACGUUACCACAACUCCUAUGUGGCAUCCAUGGUACAAAACAUGGUCAAGUAGCAAAUGUUAGCGCUUGUCUUCAAGGAAACAUCGCCAACAGCCUUUCUAUUCUUGUUAUUCCAAUGUCCAGACUAUUUAAAUGAAAUAGACGUUAUUUUUAAAAUGUCUAUAACAAAACUGGAAAGCCAGAAUGAAGGACCCGUCAAUGUAGCACACGGAAAAUCUAAUAUAAUAUUCAAAUAUGAAGACAGUAAGAGCAAUUCUUGCCAACUGUGCCUCGGGAGCCGAACCUAUCAGAAAAAAAAAAAAAAAAAAGAUUCCUCUCACACAAUGUCACGUGGCGAGAAGAUAGAUUUUCAAAACACAACAUCAAUGAUAAUAAAAAUAAAGAAGGCAUCUCCUGACCACGAGCACAUGUGCUUUUUAGAUGGCAGAGCGCCAUUUAGUGGAGCAAAAACAAACUAAAUGUUUAUUUAACUUGCUCCAAUAAAUAAACGUUUAGUUUAUUUUUGCUCCACUAAAUGGCGCUCUGCCAUCUAAAAAGCACAUGUGCUCGUGGUCAGGAGAUGCCUUCUUUAUUUUUAAUAUCAACACCUGACCCACUUAUCUUUUAUUUUUUUUCUAUUGUUUUUUCAUCAAUGAUAAUGUGAAAUGUUAUCUAGGAGACAGCACAUGACAGGUUUUUUUGGCGGAAAAACACUUAAAAAUUUAUAAAAUACCCCGAACAUUCCAUAUGGCUUCUAACUCUUAUCAUUCUUGAACGGCGUAAGUGUCUAUUAUAGAGGGUAUUGCACCCCAGGGGAAUGUCUCAGAGCCGGUACCUCGACGUAGACGCCCUCGGAGCACAGGUUGGGGAUGGAGGUGGAGCGUUCCAGCCGCCGAGGGAAGGACUCGAGGACUCCGUCUUCCUCGUCCUGGAGAGCCGCCAGCAGGUUGGGCUGGGACAUACGCAGCCGCUGUUCCCUGCGCCCACAGUCAGACAUAGUUCAGCAGUCGUCAAGAAAUAAACUUGUAUAAGCAACAAUGACACCAGGAAAGUUGGGUAAUGUGAGAGACUGAGCAUACUUGCGGCGGCAGUAACGUGUCAAUAUCCUGGCAACUGGGCUGAGAGAUUCCAAGAGAUAACUACAAAGAGGUUUAUGAUGUUGAAGACAUUUUAUGCUUAUAUCUGAAAAUGGACACAAUUUUCCCUCCAAGUUAAUAAAUCAAUAUGUUCCGUUUUUACCAAAGUCCCAGAAUUUCCCUAGUUUUAAUAAACGUUGAUUCGAGUUAGCACUAUGUACUACGUAUGUAGGAAGCCGUUUUCUAUCCAAACAUUUCAGCAAAUGUUGAAAAUACAAAUGAACGGAGAGUUUACAUGUUCAAAACAUUACAUGGCGAACAGCACAAAUUGGCCUAGAACGUUGAAUCAAUCUCGAGUUAUCUAUUUGACUGGUCACAAGGAGAGAAUGCUCGAGGAGACAACAGAAUAAUAUGAAAUUACUUGCACUCUAAUGUAUUUAGCUUCAUUUAGAGAUACCAUAUGUAUGUUUAAGUUCAAGUUAUGUUAUGUUUGAGUUGUCAUUACCUAACUUAAGUCCCACUUUAAGGCUAUAACCAUAUAUUUAGAUAUUGUUUUGAAAAUAGAGCAAUCCAUAGAUAAAUCUUUAAUUAAAAAGGCAUAUAUUGGAUCAAAAUAUCAUUUAUUUUAAUAGUUGAUUAGUUUGUUGUUGACACACUUUAAAAUGUUAUAACACCUUGAUAAAGGUUGGCGUUCAGCCAACUGAAAUAUUAGUAAAAUAAAUGAUAUUUUGAUCGAAUAUAUGCCUUUUUAAUUAAAUAUUUAGAUAUGAAAAGUGUUUUUGGAAGGUAUGGACUUUCAACUCAGCGUCGUGGUGAAGAGAGAUGAGAGUGCCAGAUGGGCCACCCCUGAGUGCAGUGGGAAUGUAACCGACCCUUGCAGUCCCGACUAUGCAAAUAUGUCCACAGUCCAGAACGGCUGAUUAUGGCUGCUGAUAGUUAGCGCGGGAAGUAGGCUAAGCAGUCCAACAAUGGCCAAUUUCUAGACGGCGAUAAUGGCGCCACCAGUUCUGUGCUAAUGACGUCGCUUUGUUUGCCAGCGCCAAGUGGACUGAAUGCACAGGGAACCUGGCGUAGCUUUAAUGGUCCGGGUAAACUUUGGGGAUAUUCCUUCCGUAGCGGGGCUCCUGUGGACUGAGUCCAUCUCAGUACGCGGGAUCCUUCCGUGGCGGGGCUCCUGUGGACUGAGUACACCGCGGGAUCCUUCCGUGGCGCGGCUCCUGUGGACUGAGUACACCGCGGGAUCCUUCCGUGGCGGGGCUUCUGUGGACUGAGUACACCGCGGGAUCCUUCAGUGGCGGGGCUUCUGUGGACUGAGUACACCGCGGGACCCUUCAGUGGCGGGACUCCUGUGGACUGAGUACAUCGCGGGAUCCUUCCGUGGCGGGGCUCCUGUGGACUGAGUACACCGCGGGAUCCUUCCGUGGCGGGGCUCCUGUGGACUGAGUACACCGCGGGAUCCUUCCGUGGCGGGGCUCCUGUGGACUGAGUAUACCGCGGGAUCCUUCCGUGGCGGGGCUCCUGUGAACUGAGUCCACCGAGCUCUUUUUUUUUUUUUUAAGGAGACAGAGGUCAUUUUUUUUUCAAACUUGGUUAUCUCGUGUGUCUUCAAUAAAGGCCACUGUAAUAUCUUUCAGAGUUAUUGUCUGAAUCCCGAUAUACAUGGUAAAAGGUACAACUUCCUUAAGUUUUGUCCAUGAGUGUAUCUUUCAGAGUUAUUGUCUGGACCCCGAUAUACAUGCUGAAAGAUACAACAACUGCCUUAAAUGUUGUCCAUGAGUGUAAAUAUAUACAUAGAGAGAAGAAGGCCUAAAAUAACUAUUUCUGAAGAAUAGAAAAACUUAAAAAAAUAUCAACAGUGGAGCUUCCAAACUUCUGUUAACUGGAAAAGGCGACAAAUAUUUACUUCUAGCGACGUCAGAACUGAUUAGGGACGUGCAGUGACGAACGAAGCUGCUGGGGUAAGACCGGCUAAGUGAGAAACACAAGGGAGAGAAAUAUUAAAA
Cordylochernes scorpioides is the source of this 9748-nucleotide non-coding RNA. Lineage: Eukaryota; Metazoa; Arthropoda; Arachnida; Pseudoscorpiones; Chernetidae. The record is from the annotation of a GenBank genome assembly.